UGUAAUAGAGGUGCAAAUGCAAAGAGUACAUAUAUUUAGCUUGGUAGGCAUUGAGAUAUAUGAAAAGGUGUAAUUGCCGAAGUGAUAAUUUACCGAGGGUUAUUGCUGGUCGUUUGUUUAAGAGACACUCGACUGUCAUCAAUAUUUGAUGGAGUGCUAUUUC
Molecule: non-coding RNA, 163 nt
Filed under: uncultured Veillonella sp.
Lineage: Bacteria; Bacillati; Bacillota; Negativicutes; Veillonellales; Veillonellaceae
Description: Lysine riboswitch
Rfam family: Lysine riboswitch aptamer
About the family: Riboswitches are metabolite binding domains within certain messenger RNAs that serve as precision sensors for their corresponding targets. Allosteric rearrangement of mRNA structure is mediated by ligand binding, and this results in modulation of gene expression. This family includes riboswitches that sense lysine in a number of genes involved in lysine metabolism, including lysC.
Source: RNAcentral